UACGGAGGGUGCAAGCGUUAUCCGGAUUCACUGGGUUUAAAGGGUGCGUAGGUGGCUUUGUAAGUCAGUGGUGAAAUCUUAGAGCUUAACUCUAAAACUGCCAUUGAUACUGCUUAGCUUGAAUCAAGUUGAGGUGGAUGGAAUAUUACAUGUAGCGGUGAAAUGCUUAGAUAUGUAAUAGAACACCGAUUGCGAAGGCAGUUCACUAAGCUUGUAUUGACACUGAGGCACGAAAGCGUGGGGAUCAAACAGG
Molecule: ribosomal RNA, 253 nt
Filed under: uncultured bacterium
Lineage: Bacteria
Description: partial 16S ribosomal RNA
Rfam family: Bacterial small subunit ribosomal RNA
Source: RNAcentral